UUCUGUAAGCCUGUGAAGGUGGCCUGUGAGGGUUGCUGGAGGUAUCAGAAGUGCGAAUGCUGACAUAAGUAACGAUAAAGCGGGUGAAAAGCCCGCUCGCCGGAAGACCAAGGGUUCCUGUCCAACGUUAAUCGGGGCAGGGUGAGUCGACCCCUAAGGCGAGGCCGAAAGGCGUAGUCGAUGGGAAACGGGUUAAUAUUCCCGUACUUGGUGUUACUGCGAAGGGGGGACGGAGAAGGCUAUGUUGGCCGGGCGACGGUUGUCCCGGUUUAAGCGUGUAGGUGUGUGUUCCAGGUAAAUCCGGUUCACUUUAACACUGAGGCGUGACGACGAGGCACUACGGUGCUGAAGCAACAAAUGCCCUGCUUCCAGGAAAAGCCUCUAAGCAUCAGGUAACAUCAAAUCGUACCCCAAACCGACACAGGUGGUCAGGUAGAGAAUACCAAGGCGCUUGAGAGAACUCGGGUGAAGGAACUAGGCAAAAUGGUGCCGUAACUUCGGGAGAAGGCACGCUGACACGUAGGUGAAGUGAUUUACUCAUGGAGCUGAAGUCAGUCGAAGAUACCAGCUGGCUGCAACUGUUUAUUAAAAACACAGCACUGUGCAAACACGAAAGUGGACGUAUACGGUGUGACGCCUGCCCGGUGCCGGAAGGUUAAUUGAUGGGGUCAGCGCAAGCGAAGCUCCUGAUCGAAGCCCCGGUAAACGGCGGCCGUAACUAUAACGGUCCUAAGGUAGCGAAAUUCCUUGUCGGGUAAGUUCCGACCUGCACGAAUGGCGUAAUGAUGGCCAGGCUGUCUCCACCCGAGACUCAGUGAAAUUGAACUCGCUGUGAAGAUGCAGUGUACCCGCGGCAAGACGGAAAGACCCCGUGAACCUUUACUAUAGCUUGACACUGAACAUUGAGCCUUGAUGUGUAGGAUAGGUGGGAGGCUUUGAAGUGUGGACGCCAGUCUGCAUGGAGCCGACCUUGAAAUACCACCCUUUAAUGUUUGAUGUUCUAACGUGGACCCGUAA
RNAcentral lists this ribosomal RNA (1017 nucleotides) under Salmonella enterica subsp. enterica serovar Mbandaka. RNAcentral describes it as "partial 23S ribosomal RNA". It matches the Rfam family "Bacterial large subunit ribosomal RNA", at positions 1239 to 2238 of the family's 2925-position model. The record is from RNAcentral. Lineage: Bacteria; Pseudomonadati; Pseudomonadota; Gammaproteobacteria; Enterobacterales; Enterobacteriaceae.